This 22-nucleotide microRNA is filed under the name Petromyzon marinus (sea lamprey). RNAcentral's name for it is "pma-miR-4564". The record is from miRBase by way of RNAcentral. Lineage: Eukaryota; Metazoa; Chordata; Hyperoartia; Petromyzontiformes; Petromyzontidae.
GUUUGAAAUGUCAUUUGGCUUA